GUUGCCUACUCCCUAGGCUUUUCAAAGAGAAAACGUUUUCCUACUUCAAAUACCUAAUGUCUAGGGGCUGGGUUUGUGGCUCAGUGGUAGAGCGGUUACCUAGCCCAUGUGAGGCACUGGGUUCGAUUCUCAGCACCACAUAAAAUAAAUAAAUAAAUAAAAUAAAGAUAUUUUAAAAAUAAAUACCCAGUGUCUAGAACAGGUUUGGAACCUAAUGUGGCAAGUGGGUUACUUAAAGUUAAGUGAGGAAAAACCCCUAGCUAUUUCAAGUGCAGAGUGAUUUAAUACAAGGAAAUAAGUGUAAAGAGGAGAAAAAGAUUUUCCUCACCCCUCUUAGAGAAUCUUGCUGAGUUUGAAAGGAAAGGACAAAGACAGAUGAACGUGAAAAAAGCAUACUAAUUUAACUUAAGUUCUAUGUGAUAUAAGGAAUUUCAUAAAGAAAUGAAAAACCUAAAGAAAAUAAUAAAGCUAUAAUAAUUCCUAUACAAGGUUUGAGGAAGUAUAUAAUUGUGGAGAAGUAUCACUGUGUUAAAAAGUAUGAGGGGAAAAAAGGAAAGAGUAAAACUGCGGGGGACUUAUCAAGGUGUGUUUGUUCAGAUUCAUCUCUGCGACCCUGUGUUUUCAGAAAUAAUGAUACUCCUUUCCUGGGGGGGGGGGGUACUUCUCGAAUGAGUAUCUGAUGACCUGCUUUAGGGAAAAGUCAGAAAAUAUUUCCUAGGUGUUAUGGUCAGCUUCAUGGGAAAAAAUGUGAGAGGAAAGUGAGAGUGUCCUUACUGCUUCUGCUGUUUCCUGAAAUGCCAAGGUGCUGCAUUUUGGGACAGGAUGGCCUAACUCCAUCAGAUACUAAAAAAGGACUGGAAAAGAUGAGGGGAAAGUCAAGAUUUCAAAUUUUCAUGUUUUCAUUUACAUUGCUAUAAUGCAGAGUUCUGGAAAGUACUACUGACCCUACAGAGAUCAGGAAGCUUCAUGAAACACUGCUACUCAGUAGAAUGGUCCAGCAGACCCAAAGCUGGUGGCUGGCAGUGAGGUGCAUCAGUGGAGGCCACAUAGUGAAAGUUCACAUUUCUGAAGCCUAUUUUCACUGCCAGAGGCCGAAUGGCCUUUACCAGUUUUCUACCUUCCAAAUUUCUUGCCAGUUCAGCUCAUUGGCAGAAAUAAAUUCCAUACAGAAUCUCGCUGCUAUGAUAAUAGUUUAACAACAAUGAUCUGUGUUCACAAAUCAAUAAAGUAUUUUC
RNAcentral lists this long non-coding RNA (1235 nucleotides) under Marmota monax (woodchuck). The record is from RNAcentral. Lineage: Eukaryota; Metazoa; Chordata; Mammalia; Rodentia; Sciuridae.